AACGAACGCUGGCGGCAUGCCUAACACAUGCAAGUCGAACGGGAUCCUAGCUUGCUAGGUGAGAGUGGCGGACGGGUGAGUAACACGUGGGAAUCUGCCUUUUGGUUCGGGAUAACCGCGGGAAACUGCGGCUAAUACCGAAUGCCCUCGAGAGAGGAAAGAUUUAUCGCCAGAAGAGGAGCCCGCGUCCGAUUAGGUAGUUGGUGGGGUAAAGGCCUACCAAGCCGACGAUCGGUAGCUGGUCUGAGAGGAUGAUCAGCCACACUGGGACUGAGAUACGGCCCAGACUCCUACGGGAGGCAGCAGUGGGGAAUAUUGGACAAUGGGGGCAACCCGUGAUCCAGCAAUGCCGCGUGAGUGAUGAAGGCC
RNAcentral lists this ribosomal RNA (369 nucleotides) under uncultured bacterium. RNAcentral's name for it is "bacterial SSU rRNA". It matches the Rfam family "Bacterial small subunit ribosomal RNA", at positions 29 to 416 of the family's 1533-position model. The record is from RNAcentral.